RNAcentral lists this transfer RNA (83 nucleotides) under Salmonella enterica subsp. enterica serovar Enteritidis str. EC20121689. Its description in RNAcentral is "tRNA-SeC (TCA) (tRNA-SeC-TCA-1-1)". It matches the Rfam family "Selenocysteine transfer RNA". The record is from RNAcentral. Lineage: Bacteria; Pseudomonadati; Pseudomonadota; Gammaproteobacteria; Enterobacterales; Enterobacteriaceae.
GAUCGUCGUCUCCGGUGAGGCGGCUGGACUUCAAAUCCAGUUGGGGCCGCCAGCGGUCCCGGGCAGGUUCGACUCCUGUGAUC